RNAcentral lists this ribosomal RNA (297 nucleotides) under uncultured bacterium. RNAcentral's name for it is "partial 16S ribosomal RNA". It matches the Rfam family "Bacterial small subunit ribosomal RNA", at positions 789 to 1084 of the family's 1533-position model. The record is from RNAcentral.
GGUAGUCCACGCCCUAAACGAUGCAUAUUUGGUGUGGGCAGUUCAUUCUGUCCGUGCCGGAGCUAACGCGUUAAAUAUGCCGCCUGGGGAGUACAGUCGCAAGGCUGAAACUCAAAGGAAUUGACGGGGGCCCGCACAAGCGGUGGAGCAUGUGGUUCAAUUCGACGCAACGCGAAGAACCUUACCUGGGCUCGAACGGCUUCUCAACGCCGGUGGAAACACCGGUAUCCCGCAAGGGAGUGGAGUCGAGGUGCUGCAUGGCUGUCGUCAGCUCGUGUCGUGAGAUGUUGGGUUAAG